UACGUAGGGUGCAAGCGUUAAUCGGAAUUACUGGGCGUAAAGCGUGCGCAGGCGGUUAUGCAAGACAGACGUGAAAUCCCCAGGCUCAACCUGGGAACUGCGUCUGAUACUGGAUGGCCUGAAUCCGGGAGAGGGAUGCAGAAUUCCAGGUGUAGCGGUGAAAUGCGUAGAUAUCUGGAGGAAUACCGGUGGCGAAGGCGGCAUCCUGGACCGGCAUUGACGCUGAGGAGCGAAAGCUAGGGGAGCAAACGGG
Molecule: ribosomal RNA, 253 nt
Filed under: uncultured bacterium
Lineage: Bacteria
Description: partial 16S ribosomal RNA
Rfam family: Bacterial small subunit ribosomal RNA
Source: RNAcentral